Long non-coding RNA from Vigna radiata var. radiata (mung bean), 358 nucleotides. RefSeq lists it as uncharacterized. NCBI's taxonomy places the organism in Eukaryota, Viridiplantae, Streptophyta, Magnoliopsida, Fabales, Fabaceae. The transcript has 4 exons. The record is from RefSeq and is a predicted model, not a curated record.
CCCAUUUCUACUAUUUGUUUUCUCUCUCUAGACAGAGCUAUUUUCUUUCUAAGAAAUCUGCUCUGCCUUCUCUCUAAGAAAACCAUUCACUGACCUGAUAAAAAUUUUAACUGAAGGUACUACAGCGUUCCUUGCACCAAAUCUUCAUUUUGAACCGAACAGUUUCUUUGUUCGUCUCGGUUCUGUGUAAGUUCAGCGCGAUGUGGGUACGGUCCUAGGGCGUUCUUGACCUGUACUGUUAAGCUUUCCAGGUUACAACCGUUCGGUGUCGCGAGAAAGAUUGACAGUAAACAUUGGAAGAUCGAUCGGAGGAGGAAAGGAAAGGGGGUUGCAUCCCUAUGUUAGCUUCAUGGAAUAA